RNAcentral lists this ribosomal RNA (475 nucleotides) under uncultured organism. RNAcentral describes it as "partial 16S ribosomal RNA". It matches the Rfam family "Bacterial small subunit ribosomal RNA", at positions 333 to 799 of the family's 1533-position model. The record is from RNAcentral.
ACACUCCUGCGGGAGGCAGCAGUGGGGAAUUUUGGACAAUGGGCGAAAGCCUGAUCCAGCCAUGCCGCGUGCAGGAUGAAGGCCUUCGGGUUGUAAACUGCUCUUGUACGGAACGAAACGGCCUUUUCUAAUAAAGAGGGCUAAUGACGGUACCGUAAGAAUAAGCACCGGCUAACUACGUGCCAGCAGCCGCGGUAAUACGUAGGGUGCAAGCGUUAAUCGGAAUUACUGGGCGUAAAGCGUGCGCAGGCGGUUAGGUAAGUCAGUUGUGAAAUCCCCGGGCUCAACCUGAGAACUGCAUCUGUGACUGCAUAGCUAGAGUACGGUAGAGGGGGAUGGAAUUCCGCGUGUAGCAGUGAAAUGCGUAGAUAUGCGGAGGAACACCGAUGGCGAAGGCAAUCCCCUGGACCUGUACUGACGCUCAUGCACGAAAGCGUGGGGAGCAAACAGGAUUAGAAACCCCUGUAGUCCCAUG